UUCAACUUGGAAUGGCACGGUAGCAUAGUACAUUAUACAAGAAAAUAAACAUGCUCUCCUACCUAUUGAUCAAUAGAUUAAUUUUGAAAAGAGAAAUUUUUUUUGAAAAGGGCGGGCUUCCUCCGUCGAGAGAAACAAGAGAUGUUGACCUCCCAAAGCCAGUACGAAAAAUGGCAAACGCGGCAUUCAGAACUCGUGAGUUUCGACUCAGGGUACUUUCAUUGCUUUUAUUCUUUCUCCCGGAGAAUGGCGGGAGCAAUUGUCGACGUUGAAAGCUCCCAAAUUCCUCGCUUUCUAUCUGUCGAUGGCUUCAAGCUUGUCAGGGUGACAGCCUGUCUCAAGAAUGGUGCCACAGAAGCUCAUAUAGUCCAGUCAAUAGGCAACAUGGUAGAAGUGAAGAGGUGCAUUUGCUCAUCAGUUGCAGACUUGCACAAAAAGGGUUUUGGCAUGCAAAAUUUUUUCGUAAAUCUUUAUAAUUUCUCCAAGUGCUGCCAUAGACCAACAACCAUCUGGAGCAUCAAUACCAUGGUAGCCCUUGUCAUAUGAAAGCACUGGGAAAAUCACAGAAGUGAAAUGGUUUAUUUUCUGUUCAAUUUCAGACUUAAAUCUGGAGUCAGGAAGGGUAGUAUGGACAGUUGUUGUUUCUUCACAUGGAGCCGCAAAUAGAAGUAUAGUGCUCGUCAUAUUCAUAUGGUUGUAUCUGCCCAGCAAGAUUUCUUUGAUGGCAUUCAACUUCCAUUGGAUGGCUGUCAAUGAACUGCUGCACCAGUAUCAGAAACACCCCAAGGUUAGGCUUGUUCCUCCUUCCUGCUGCAAGUUUCAUGCACUGAUUAGCAAGAUAUCUGUUCAAAUUGAACAUUAUGGCAUGAACUGGCACAAUAUCCUCAACUAUUAAAUCAUAAGAGAAGUGAGUUGCUGCAUCCUGUUCCAAAAGUUACUGUGCAUGAGAUCUGCCUGCCUGUAGAUUCCACAGGAACAAAUAAUUGUGCCCAUCCAUCUAAGAAGAUAGAAACAAGCAUUCAAUGAUGCUUUCAGAAUUUUUUAUCAAUUUAAGUUGUAUAAUGAUGAUAAUUAAAAUAUUUAUACAGAAAGUUUAGCACUUUUAGGCUUUUUGAGCAUCAAUUGUCAUAAAUAUUUUAACGGCUUGUUGGCAAGAUU
Molecule: non-coding RNA, 1158 nt
Organism: Phoenix dactylifera (date palm)
Lineage: Eukaryota; Viridiplantae; Streptophyta; Magnoliopsida; Arecales; Arecaceae
Source: RefSeq, a predicted model, not a curated record